RNAcentral lists this non-coding RNA (111 nucleotides) under human gut metagenome. RNAcentral's name for it is "Glycine riboswitch". It matches the Rfam family "Glycine riboswitch aptamer", at positions 9 to 86 of the family's 94-position model. From Rfam's summary of the family: This family represents the bacterial glycine riboswitch. Glycine riboswitches usually consist of two metabolite-binding aptamers domains with similar structures in tandem. The aptamers cooperatively bind glycine to regulate the expression of downstream genes. The record is from RNAcentral.
GAACUCUGGAGAAUCUCGUAUAAGCGAGUACCGAAGGUGCAAGGCUUUUAACAGGCAACCUUAUGUAGUUUCUUGUUACAGCUGAAUCUCUCAGGUAAAAGGACAGAGGGA